GCCGGUUUGGCUCAGUGGAUAGAGCGUUGGCCUGCGGACUCAAAGGUCCCGGGUUCGAUUCCAGUCAAGGGCA
This 73-nucleotide transfer RNA is filed under the name Myotis davidii. It matches the Rfam family "tRNA". From Rfam's summary of the family: Transfer RNA (tRNA) molecules are approximately 80 nucleotides in length. Their secondary structure includes four short double-helical elements and three loops (D, anti-codon, and T loops). Lineage: Eukaryota; Metazoa; Chordata; Mammalia; Chiroptera; Vespertilionidae. The record is from Rfam by way of RNAcentral.